Pelobates cultripes (western spadefoot toad) is the source of this 1391-nucleotide non-coding RNA. Lineage: Eukaryota; Metazoa; Chordata; Amphibia; Anura; Pelobatidae. The record is from the annotation of a GenBank genome assembly.
CUGGUUUAUGUGCGAACCAUAAGGUGCUAUGUGGGGUGUCCAGUGUGGUAUUGUCUUCGAAAUAGUGUUGCAGAGCUGUGGUCAGUUCGCCUCUGAAUUGUGUCAUGAAGUAAAGGUGUUUAGUCUCCAUGGGCUGCAGUGCUUAAAGUCAUAUAAGUUCUUCAUGUCUACGGUGAUGGGCGCAUGAUCUGACCAGGUAAUGUCCCUGCACGAGGAACCUAUCGAUUCUGGAAUAGGAAUUGUGUACUGGUGAGAAUGAGUAGGAUUUUUCGGAUACAUGCGUUAGUCUCCACACAUCAUAGUAAUGUGUUGCUAGGAGUUUCUGUAUAGCCUUGCUCUGGCGUUAUAGGGGUCUGUAUCUAGCGCUGUGAGGUGAGAGGAUGGUGUCCAUUUUGGGGUCUAUAACAUGAUUAAAGUCACCACAGUUGACAGUAAUUCCUUGCUGUAUCGCAGAUAUUUUUUGGAGUAUUUUGUGUAGGAAAUUACGUUGAUUUGCGUUCGGGCAUAUGGGUUGACUAUUGUGUAUAAGGUGUUGUUUAUAGUUCCUACAACAACGUAACGGCCGUCAGCGUCAAUGUCUUGUGUAAUGAGGGAGAAGGAUAUCUUGGCACUAAUCAGUAUGGAUGUGCCUUUAGAUUUGGUUGAGGACGUUGCAUGGAAUUGAUGUGGAUAAGUGGUCGUUAGUAUGUGUCUCCUGCAGACAUGCUAUAUCAGCUCCCUGAGAUCUAAGUUCCUUGGUGAAUGUGCCUUUUAUGCGGGACGUUCAGGCAUUUUACAUUCAGAGAACAGAUUCUCAUGGAGGGUUAUAAUAUUGUUGUGAUAAACAUUUGUGUGGUAUAAUAUUGGCAGGGCUCGUUGCCCAUCCCAGCUUUCUCCAGCCAGGCAACGGGAUCCCCUUAUGAAAUGUGUUUAGCACUCGUCAUCUGACGUGUAACACCCAUAGAGAAGCUUCAGUAAGGCUGUCAUUGUCAGUAUUGGUGUGAACAUCAAACAAAAGGGCCCCCACAUGGCCCAAAAGAAAGGAACAGUAUAAAACAUCACUUUGGUACAAAUAAGUUGCAUGGCAUCGUGAAGCGUAGAGAGACAAAACAUACAUUUAAGCAACAUAAACCUAACGUUAACAUUAUUUAAUGCAGAUAACCUGGCUUGGCUCUGUCUAGCAGUGCCUUGGGGGAUGAAACUUAAGGUUUCAGUAGGAAUCAGGCGCUCCGCCGCGCCGGUCCAGUAUGCAAAGGAUAUUUAAUAUGACCCAUAGUCAGUGGUGUAUCCUUGUUUUGUGCUGCACUAGGCAUGACAAAACUCAGGCACCCCUUAGGUUGACUGGUAUUAUCUCUGUUAUGGUUUCACAUGUUGGGGAAACAUAACUAUUGUCGUUUAAAAACUUAAUAGGG